AUAGUACUCCCUCUCUCUGGAAAUACUUGUCUGAGGAAUGGAUGUAUCUAGAUGUAUUUUAGUUUUAAAUACAUCCAUUUGUAUCCAUUUCCACGACAGGUAUUUCCGGACGGAGGGAGUAUCAC
Triticum urartu is the source of this 125-nucleotide non-coding RNA. The record is from Rfam. NCBI's taxonomy places the organism in Eukaryota, Viridiplantae, Streptophyta, Magnoliopsida, Poales, Poaceae.